UCUCUCCUAAAUGACAUAAUAUGCUUACGUAGCUCCAAGAUGAGCUAUUCCCCCUAACAUAGCUAUUAAAUGACCUAUAAUUAACUUAGCUAGCUCCAAAAUAGCUUAAUAAGCAUAGUUAGCUCAAAAAUGACCUACUUUUACCUAAGUAGCUCCAAAAUGACAUAUACUUAGCUUCAUUUCGUCCUAAAUAACAUAAUUAGCUUAGUUAGCUUCAAAAUGGCAUAUUUAAUAAAAAAUGACCUAUACUUAGCUAAGUUCUCUCCUAAAUGACAUAAUAAGGCUUAUGUACUUCCAAGAUAACCUAUUCCCCCUAACUUAGAUAUUAAAUGGCCUAUAAUGUGCUUAGCUAGCUCCAAAUGGCAUAAUAAGCAUAGUUAGCUCCAAAAUGACCUAUUUUACCAAUGUUAGCUCCGAAAUGACCUAUAGUUAGCUAGGCUUCCACCUAAAUGACAUAAUUAGCUUAGUUAGCUCCAAAAUUGCCUAUUUAAUAAAAAAAUGACCUAUACUUAGGUAAGUUCCCUCAUGAAUGACAUAAUAAGGCUUACGUAGCUCCAAGAUGAGCUAUUCCCCCUAACUUAGCUACUAAAUGGCCUAUAAUUAGCUUAGCUAGCUCCAAAAUGGCUUAAUAAGCAUAGUUAGCUCCGAAAUGACAUAUUUAACCCAAGUUAGCUCUAAAAUGACCUAUAGUUAGCUAGGCUUCCACCUAAAUUACAUAAUUAGCUUAGUUAGCUCCAAAAUUGCCUAUUUAAUAAAAAAUGACAAAUACUUAGCUAAGUUCUCUCCUAAAUGAAAUAAUACGGCUUACGUAGCUCCAAGAUGACCUAUUCCCCCUAACUUAGCUAUUAAAUGGCCUAUAAUUUGCUUAGCUAGCUCCCAAAUGGCUGAAUAAGCAUNNN
This 899-nucleotide long non-coding RNA is filed under the name Hordeum vulgare. Its description in RNAcentral is "long non-coding RNA (HVUL_LNC009988)". Lineage: Eukaryota; Viridiplantae; Streptophyta; Magnoliopsida; Poales; Poaceae. The record is from RNAcentral.